UGGCUGACGGGGGCCCUGCCAACUGCUGGGAAGCUGCUGGAGGCCUUGUGCACUUCCAGAAGCCAGCAGGGUAUUGAGAAUCAACUGUCUCUCCUCUCCAUUCUAAGCUGCCCCUAGGCAUUGUAACUAUGCUGAAUCCCUUGACAUUCUGAGGUGUACAGAAUGGCUAUGUGAAGGAAGAAUGGAAUCGGGGAAGCCACAGCUAGGAGGUGGUGCAAUAAUCUAGUCAUGAGAUGCAGCAGUAAGGAAUUAUGAUGAAGAUUGGGCACCCUGUCAUCUGCUACUGAAUUAUUAUCUCAUGUGGCGAAGAAGACAACAAAGAACCAGAAAGAGCCAGAGGAGGAGGAGAUGGGGUCUCAAGAAAUUUUUACCAGAGACCAGAUUCAUGUCUAAUUAAACAGCCUUCUCCAAUAUAAGGAAAGAAGACCUAAUUACUGUAUGUUGGAAAAAGAGAUAAUUUGUCUUUUUAAUGUAUUGGUAAUUGGGCUUGCUUCUGAACAUAAUGGAGAAAUCUACACAUCACCAACUGAUUAUGGACUUUGAGCUGGAUAGACAUCUGGAAUGUUACAGAUCAAAUUCUAUUACAAAGAAUGCUAAUGAAGUGAAAAAUUUCUCUGUAAGCAGAACACACACACAAAUUAAAAAAAAAAAAAAAAGAAAGAAAAAGAAAAAACAAAAGGUAAGUCCCAACUGAUUUCAGGCUCCCUUAUUUUAAACAAUAUUUAAUACAAAAAUAAUUUAAGUACACUGAGAUAUUGCAAGCAAUUUCUAUUAUUCACUGUAAAGGAGUCAAUAGGCAUAGCUUCAGUUCUGUAUUCUUUGUCCAUUUGUUGUUGUAUAAUAGCCCUGAUGCUUAAAUAUAGUAUAACCUUUUUGUCUUUUUAAUUUGGAGGUUUAUAAAUGUUAUUGUGAUAGUCACAUCCCGAUAAUCACAGAGUCAUGAUUGAAUCCUGUUAGAUGCCUGUGGCAAAUAAGGUAGAUUAUCUUGCUCAGCAUCUGUUCCUUGUGCUCUACUUAUGUUCUGCAGAGAUAAAAAGCUAAAGACUGCAUUUCUAGGACUACCUUUCAGCAAGAGUUCUGGAUGUAAUUUAGGUUCUACUAAUCAUGGGUACUCAUAUAGGACUUGAAUUCAGAAUUAACGUAAGUGGAGACAGGAAUCUAGCUUCUACUUGGCUGGUGAAAUGAGGCUCUGGAGCCAGCUACUCUGGUGGGGCAUCUUUAUUCCUGGACCACAGCAGGCAGUGUGUUCCCUAAACCAGCAACUGGCCCUCUGAUCUCCACAUUCCAGCUAACAUUGUGUGAUCAAAAUUCAGAAUUUGAGAGAGCAAUGUCUUGUUUUAGUUUCUUGAUUUUGUCAGAGGCAGAUGAGUGGUCAAUUCUGUGAUGUUAAUUUGAAAUUAUUCAAGGAGGCUCAAGCAACAGUCUCCUGUUCCAGAGCUUCCAAUAAUUUUGUAGGCACUUCAUUCCUUCUAUUAAAGAUGUUUCUGCAUGUAAUAGCUAGAGCAAUUCCUGUUAGCUUCAAAAGGACCCUGACUGAUAUUGGCAUUUUUAUAAAGCAAUUGAAUGAGAAAAUGAGAAAACCUAAGAAUUUCUGAAGUCUUUAACACUGUCAGAAUAGAGUAUCAGUGAAAAAUAAUAGAUAGGUAGAAAGACAGACAGAGAGAUAGUCCCAAGAUGCUGCGUCUGGGAACUAGAGUAGAGUGGGAAAUUUUAAAGAAUGUAUGAAGUAAAUCCGAGUCUACCAACAGGCAGGAAUUGAGCCUCCAUGGCCUAAUUUCAGUUACACAGAAAAACAAACUCUCUGCUGACUUGUCCCUAUGUUUUUAAAGGUGAUGAAAGCCUCUGUGAUUUUCCUUUCCACAAAAAAAUGACAGUAUCUUUUGUUAAUAAGAAACCUCUGCAAAAACAUGAUUUAAAAGUUAAUGUUCUUCAUCUUAAGGUCAUAGUUUUGAGAAUUACUUCAGGUGGUCUCUGAUACUCUGAGAUUAAGUAAGUACGAAAAAUUUUCAAGUGGGUGACAGAUAUCCUAUUGUGGGUGAUCUCCAGACUCGCAAAAAAAAAAAAUCCCAUGAUCUUCAGAAGGCCAAGAACCAAAGAGGAUUCUGUAGAUAUUUCAUGCAAAUCAUUGUUUCUACGUUAUAGUCAUACUUCUAUGUACUUGUGAAAAUUUCUGUGUUCAUGUGAUAUUGCAUUUAUUGUAUCAUAAUUUUGUGUAAAGCAUUUAGGAUAACUCUUUGGCUCUUGAUAAUUGCCUGACUGUGCAAAUAAAUAUUUUAUCCCUGUU
Molecule: long non-coding RNA, 2284 nt
Organism: Cynocephalus volans (Philippine flying lemur)
Lineage: Eukaryota; Metazoa; Chordata; Mammalia; Dermoptera; Cynocephalidae
Exons: 5
Source: RefSeq, a predicted model, not a curated record